AGAUUAAGUUAUUAAGGGCGCACGGUGGAUGCCUUGGCACUAGAAGCCGACGAAGGACGUUACUAACGACGAUAUGCUUUGGGUAGCUGUAAGUAAGCGUUGAUCCAGAGAUUUCCGAAUGGGGGAACCCAGCACGAGUUAUGUCGUGUUAUCGACAAGUGAAUUCAUAGCUUGUCAGAAGGCAGACCCGGAGAACUGAAACAUCUUAGUACCCGGAGGAAGAGAAAGAAAAAUCGAUUCCCUGAGUAGCGGCGAGCGAAACGGGAAGAGCCCAAACCAAUAAGCUUGCUUAUUGGGGUUGUAGGACACUCUAUACGGAGUUACAAAGGAAUAUAUUAGACGAAUCAUCUGGAAAGUUGAAUCAAAGAAGGUAAUAAUCCUGUAGUUGAAAAUAUAUUCUCUCUUGAGUGGAUCCUGAGUACGACGGAGCACGUGAAAUUCCGUCGGAAUCUGGGAGGACCAUCUCCUAAGGCUAAAUACUCUCUAGUGACCGAUAGUGAACCAGUACCGUGAGGGAAAGGUGAAAAGUACCCCGGAAGGGGAGUGAAAGAGAACUUGAAACCGUGUGCUUACAAGUAGUCAGAGCCCGUUAAUGGGUGAUGGCGUGCCUUUUGUAGAAUGAACCGGCGAGUUACGAUCUGAUGCAAGGUUAAGCAGGAAAUGUGGAGCCGUAGCGAAAGCGAGUCUGAAUAGGGCGUUGAGUAUUUGGUCGUAGACCCGAAACCAGGUGAUCUACCCAUGGUCAGGUUGAAGUUCAGGUAACACUGAAUGGAGGACCGAACCGACUUACGUUGAAAAGUGAGCGGAUGAACUGUGGGUAGCGGAGAAAUUCCAAUCGAACUUGGAGAUAGCUGGUUCUCUCCGAAAUAGCUUUAGGGCUAGCCUCAAGUGAUGAUUAUUGGAGGUAGAGCACUGUUUGGACGAGGGGCCCCUCUCGGGUUACCGAAUUCAGACAAACUCCGAAUGCCAAUUAAUUUAACUUGGGAGUCAGAACAUGGGUGAUAAGGUCCGUGUUCGAAAGGGAAACAGCCCAGACCACCAGCUAAGGUCCCAAAAUAUAUGUUAAGUGGAAAAGGAUGUGGCGUUGCCCAGACAACUAGGAUGUUGGCUUAGAAGCAGCCAUCAUUUAAAGAGUGCGUAAUAGCUCACUAGUCGAGUGACACUGCGCCGAAAAUGUACCGGGGCUAAACAUAUUACCGAAGCUGUGGAUUGUCCGUAGGACAAUGGUAGGAGAGCGUUCUAAGGGCGUUGAAGCAUGAUCGCAAGGACAUGUGGAGCGCUUAGAAGUGAGAAUGCCGGUGUGAGUAGCGAAAGACGGGUGAGAAUCCCGUCCACCGAUUGACUAAGGUUUCCAGAGGAAGGCUCGUCCGCUCUGGGUUAGUCGGGUCCUAAGCUGAGGCCGACAGGCGUAGGCGAUGGAUAACAGGUUGAUAUUCCUGUACCACCUAGCAUCGUUUUAAUCGAUGGGGGGACGCAGUAGGAUAGGCGAAGCGUACGAUUGGAUUGUACGUCCAAGCAGUGAGAUUGAGUGUUAGGCAAAUCCGGCACUCUUAAGAUUGAGCUGUGAUGGGGAGAGGAAAUUGUUUCCUCGAGUCGUUGAUUUCACACUGCCGAGAAAAGCCUCUAGAUAGAUAAUAGGUGCCCGUACCGCAAACCGACACAGGUAGUCAAGAUGAGAAUUCUAAGGUGAGCGAGCGAACUCUCGUUAAGGAACUCGGCAAAAUGACCCCGUAACUUCGGGAGAAGGGGUGCUCUUUAGGGUGCAAGCCCAGAAGAGCCGCAGUGAAUAGGCCCAAGCGACUGUUUAUCAAAAACACAGGUCUCUGCUAAACCGUAAGGUGAUGUAUAGGGGCUGACGCCUGCCCGGUGCUGGAAGGUUAAGAGGAGU
Molecule: ribosomal RNA, 1888 nt
Filed under: Staphylococcus haemolyticus
Lineage: Bacteria; Bacillati; Bacillota; Bacilli; Caryophanales; Staphylococcaceae
Description: partial 23S ribosomal RNA
Rfam family: Bacterial large subunit ribosomal RNA
Source: RNAcentral